GCAUAUCAAUAAGCGGAGGAAAAAGAAACCAACAGGGAUUGCCUCAGUAACGGCGAGUGAAGCGGCAAGAGCUCAAAUUUGAAAGCUGGCUCCUUCGGGGUCCGCAUUGUAAUUUGCAGAGGAUGCUUCGGGAGCGGUCCCCAUCUAAGUGCCCUGGAACGGGCCGUCAUAGAGGGUGAGAAUCCCGUAUGGGAUGGGGUGCCCGCGACCAUGUGAAGCUCCUUCGACGAGUCGAGUUGUUUGGGAAUGCAGCUCUAAAUGGGUGGUAAAUUUCAUCUAAAGCUAAAUAUUGGCCGGAGACCGAUAGCGCACAAGUAGAGUGAUCGAAAGAUGAAAAGCACUUUGAAAAGAGAGUUAAAAAGCACGUGAAAUUGUUGAAAGGGAAGCGCUUGCGACCAGACUCGCCCGCGGGGUUCAGCCGGUAUUCGUACCGGUGUACUUCCCCGUGGGCGGGCCAGCGUCGGUUUGGGCGGCCGGUCAAAGGCCCUCGGAAUGUAACGCCUCUCGGGGCGUCUUAUAGCCGAGGGUGCCAUGCGGCCAGCCCGGACCGAGGAACGCGCUUCGGCACGGACGCUGGCAUAAUGGUCGUAAGCGACCCGUCUUGAAACACGGACCAAGGAGUCUAACAUCUACGCGAGUGUUCGGGUGUCAAACCCGUGCGCGCAGUGAAAGCGAACGGAGGUGGGAACCCUUUGGGUGCACCAUCGACCGAUCCUGAUGUCUUCGGAUGGAUUUGAGUAAGAGCGUAGCUGUUGGGACCCGAAAGAUGGUGAACUAUGCCUGAAUAGGGCGAAGCCAGAGGAAACUCUGGUGGAGGCUCGCAGCGGUUCUGACGUGCAAAUCGAUCGUCAAAUUUGGGGUAUAGGGGGCGAAAGACUAAUCGAACCAUCUAGUAGCUGGUUUCCUGCCGAA
This 912-nucleotide ribosomal RNA is filed under the name Penicillium parvum. Its description in RNAcentral is "LSU rRNA". It matches the Rfam family "Eukaryotic large subunit ribosomal RNA", at positions 38 to 965 of the family's 3401-position model. Lineage: Eukaryota; Fungi; Ascomycota; Eurotiomycetes; Eurotiales; Aspergillaceae. The record is from RNAcentral.